This is a non-coding RNA of Acanthosepion pharaonis, 101 nucleotides long. NCBI's taxonomy places the organism in Eukaryota, Metazoa, Mollusca, Cephalopoda, Sepiida, Sepiidae. The record is from the annotation of a GenBank genome assembly.
AAUACCAUGUUUAAAACACCGGUUCUCGUUCGAUCACCGAAGUUAAGCAACCUCGAGCCCGUGCCUAAAUGGGUGACCGCUUGGGAAUUCCAUGCUCUGUA